AGUUUGAUCCUGGCUCAGGACGAACGCUGGCGGCGUGCCUAACACAUGCAAGUCGAACGAUUUAGCAUUUGAGCUUGCUUGAAUGCUGGAUAGUGGCGGACGGGUGAGUAACGCGUGAGCAACCUGCCUUUUUGAGGGGGAUAACACCGGGAAACCGGAGCUAAUACCGCAUAAAAUAUUGAAACCGCAUGGUAUCGAUAUCAAAGGAGCAAUCCGCAGAAAGAUGGACUCGCGUCCGAUUAGCUAGUUGGAGGGGUAACGGCCCACCAAGGCGACGAUCGGUAGCCGGACUGAGAGGUUGAACGGCCACAUUGGGACUGAGACACGGCCCAGACUCCUACGGGAGGCAGCAGUGGGGGAUAUUGCACAAUGGGGGAAACCCUGAUGCAGCAACGCCGCGUGAGGGAAGAAGGUUUUCGGAUUGUAAACCUCUGUCCUAGGUGAAGAUAAUGACGGUAACCUGGGAGGAAGCUCCGGCUAACUACGUGCCAGCAGCCGCGGUAAUACGUAGGGAGCGAGCGUUNUUCCGGANUUACUGGGUGUAAAGGGUGCGUAGGCGGCCUUNUGGGUUCAGGCCGUGAAAUACAUGGGCUUNAACCCAUGGACUGCGCUUGAAACUAUAAGGGCUUGAGUGAAGUAGAAGGCAGGUGGAAUUCCCGGUGUAGCGGUGAAAUGCGUAGAGAUCGGGAGGAACACCAGUGGCGAAGGCGGCCUGCUGGGCUUUAACUGACGCUGAGGCACGAAAGCAUGGGUAGCAAACAGGAUUAGAUACCCUGGUAGUCCAUGCCGUAAACGAUGAUUACUAGGUGUGGGUGGACUGACCCCAUCCGUGCCGGAGUUAACACAAUAAGUAAUCCACCUGGGAAGUACGANCCNCCAAGGUUGAAACUCAAAGGAAUUGACNGGGGGCCCNNCACAAGCAGUGGAAGUAUGUGGUUUAAUUCGAANNAUACNCNGAANNAACCUUACCAGGUCUUGANAUCCCGACUAACGAAGNUAGAGAUACNUUANGGNGCCCCUUCGGGGAAANUCGAGACAGGUGGUGCAUGGUUGUCGUCAGCUCGUGUCGUGAGAUGUUGGGUUAAGUCCCGCAACGAGCGCAACCCUUACUGUUAGUUGCUACGCAAGAGCACUCUAGCAGGACUGCCGUUGACAAAACGGAGGAAGGUGGGGACGACGUCAAAUCAUCAUGCCCCUUAUGACCUGGGCUACACACGUACUACAAUGGCCGUAAACAGAGGGAAGCAAAGCCGCGAGGUGGAGCCAACCCCCAAAAGCGGUCUCAGUUCAGAUUGCAGGCUGCAACUCGCCUGCAUGAAGUCGGAAUUGCUAGUAAUCGCAGAUCAGAAUGCUGCGGUGAAUACGUUCCCGGGCCUUGUACACACCGCCCGUCACACCAUGGGAGCCGGUAAUACCCGAAGUCAGUUACUUAACCGUUAAGGAAAGCNCUGNCGNAGGUAGGAUUGGCGACUGGGGUGAAGUCGUAA
RNAcentral lists this ribosomal RNA (1487 nucleotides) under uncultured bacterium. RNAcentral describes it as "16S ribosomal RNA". It matches the Rfam family "Bacterial small subunit ribosomal RNA". The record is from RNAcentral.